Molecule: long non-coding RNA, 494 nt
Filed under: Bos taurus (domestic cattle)
Lineage: Eukaryota; Metazoa; Chordata; Mammalia; Artiodactyla; Bovidae
Description: long non-coding RNA NONBTAT011550
Source: RNAcentral
GCCUGUGAAGCAAUUUGAUACUAUAAACAGGCUGAGUUGUUUAGCACAGAGAGAAAAUAUUGACCUGUCUGCAUUCUGGUACUGUACAUACAGGUCCUAGUUGGGUAAAACACGAUACAUUUUGAGUUAUUCUCACCAGCAAGUAAAAGUAAAGUGAAUAUUCUUCAGUAAGUGUCUUUUGAAAGGGUCAAACUAUAGGAAAUGCAAAUUUUACCUGCUUUAUACAGGCAUUAUUUAAUACUUGCCUAUAGAAGUAUGGCAUUUCUAAGCUGGUGUCUGAGGAGCAUCUCAGAUGUGAGAGUAAAUCUAACAUAGUUCAAAAAUUGGUAAGGGAGGAAGAAAAUCCCUGCAGAUGAUGACCUUAGUCAGCUGGCCAAGUGAAACGAUCUGUCAUUGUGUUUGGGAGGUUUUAUUUUCUUACGUUUUUAAAAUUGAAUUGGUAUAUGCUUUAUAGACAUUGUAUUUUUAUCCAGGUGCCACUCCAAUCUGUGUAU